UGCAUUAGUACUGAUGACUGGUAAUGGC
RNAcentral lists this non-coding RNA (28 nucleotides) under Bombyx mori (domestic silkworm). The record is from RNAcentral. Lineage: Eukaryota; Metazoa; Arthropoda; Insecta; Lepidoptera; Bombycidae.